Molecule: ribosomal RNA, 512 nt
Filed under: uncultured bacterium
Lineage: Bacteria
Description: bacterial SSU rRNA
Rfam family: Bacterial small subunit ribosomal RNA
Source: RNAcentral
GAAUUGAUCUGGUUCAGGAUGAACGCUAGCUACAGGCUAACACAUGCAAGUCGAGGGCAGCAUUAGAUUAGCUGCUAAUUAGAUGGCGACCGGCGCACGGGUGAGUAACGCGUAUCCAACCUUCCCCCUGCUCAGGGAUAGCCCGGUGAAAACCGGAUUAAGACCUGAUAGUUUCACUAGAUGGCAUCUGACGGUGAAUAAAGGUUUCGGCAAGGGAUGGGGAUGCGUCUGAUUAGCUUGUUGGCGGGGUAACGGCCCACCAAGGCGACGAUCAGUAGGGGUUCUGAGAGGAAGGUCCCCCACAUUGGAACUGAGACACGGUCCAAACUCCUACGGGAGGCAGCAGUGAGGAAUAUUGGUCAAUGGGCGGAAGCCUGAACCAGCCAAGUAGCGUGCAGGAAGACGGCCCUAUGGGUUGUAAACUGCUUUUGUGCGGGAAUAAAGUCAGGGACGCGUCCCUGUUUGCAUGUACCGCAAGAAUAAGGACCGGCUAAUUCCGUGCCAGCAGCGGC